AUGGUAUGGAACGGAGGGUCUCCAUCUAUUCUAACAGGUGCUAAUGCCACUAAACAAGGCCCUCCUAUACGCCCAGCUGGGCGUGUCAAGGCUGCCACUCCCCCAACAGUGGUUAACCCUGUUCAGGUGAUUAAUAAAUAUAUGCUUUCUGCACAUCGGCCUAUCUUCUUGCAUAAGCUCUCUGCACAGGAAAUCAUGGAUCUUAAAGGUCUUAUCAUUGUUGGUCACAAUUUCUACUCCAUCCAGGAAUUCUUCAGAAUUGUUUAUGGGCAUUCCAGCAUAGACAAGUUUACCAAAGAGGAGGAGCUUGAUCUAAAAUACUUGAUUAGUGCUAAUCUAAGUAAAGAGCAAAUUGGUUUUCUUCUUUCUGAUGAUGGCUCGAGCCCCACAGUUCCGGCUCCCUCAGUUUUUAAGCGUAUAAACUCAUGCUUGCAACAGGGAGCUACCGUUUUAUCUGAAGCGGGCAUUGGGACUUCAAAGUUACCUUCCAGGCAUGACCCUCUGGCCCAGAAUAGUUUGCCUCCUGGGCCUGCCACUUUGGCCCAACUGACACAUAACAUUACCUAUGCACCGUCUCGUGUUUCUGUUUUUGACAGGUUGGAAAUGCCCGAAACUUUGAAUAUCUCUGUAUUUGAUAGAUUGGAAUGGCCAUCCAAGCAAGCUGAGCAGCACAGAACUCCCAGAUGUUCCAGAUGCCUCCUAUCCACUCACACACGUCUGCAAUGCACCAAUCGCAUUUGCUUUUUAAAAUGCUUCAGGUCAGGACAUAUCAAAAGGGACUGUACUUUUUUUUCAGCAAACUACAGUGAAUCACAGGAAGGAUAUCCGGAAGACAAUCACGCAAAAAUGGGUACCCAAAAUCAAUAUUGA
This 870-nucleotide ribosomal RNA is filed under the name Triticum aestivum (bread wheat). Its description in RNAcentral is "partial small subunit ribosomal RNA". The record is from RNAcentral. Lineage: Eukaryota; Viridiplantae; Streptophyta; Magnoliopsida; Poales; Poaceae.